AGCGUUGUCCGGAUUUAUUGGGCGUAAAGAGCGUGUAGGCGGCCAGGUAGGUCGGCUGUGAAAACUCGAGGCUUAACCUCGAGAUGUCAUCGGAAACCAUCUGGCUAGAGUCCGGAAGAGGAGAGUGGAAUUCCUGGUGUAGCGGUGAAAUGCGCAGAUAUCAGGAAGAACACCAAUGGCGAAAGCAGCUCUCUGGGACGGUACUGACGCUGAGACGCGAAAGCGUGGGGAGCGAACAGG
Molecule: ribosomal RNA, 240 nt
Filed under: uncultured bacterium
Lineage: Bacteria
Description: partial 16S ribosomal RNA
Rfam family: Bacterial small subunit ribosomal RNA
Source: RNAcentral